ACGGCGAGUGAACCGGGAAGAGCUCAAAUUUGAAAUCUGGCGUGCUCAGUGCGUCCGAGUUGUAAUCUAUAGAGGCGUUUUCCGUGCCGGACUGUGUCUAAGUCCCUUGGAACAGGGUAUCAAAGAGGGUGAUAAUCCCGUACUUGACACAAUGACCGGUGCUCUGUGAUACGUCUUCUACGAGUCGAGUUGUUUGGGAAUGCAGCUCAAAAUGGGUGGUGAGUUCCAUCUAAAGCUAAAUAUUGGCGAGAGACCGAUAGCGAACAAGUACCGUGAGGGAAAGAUGAAAAGCACUUUGGAAAGAGAGUUAAACAGUACGUGAAAUUGUUGAAAGGGAAACGAUUGAAGUCAGUCGUGACUGAGAGGCUCAGCCGGUUCUGCCGGUGUAUUCCCCUCAGUCGGGUCAACAUCAGUUUUGUUCGGUGGAUAAGGGCAGCUGGAAGGUGGCACCUCCGGGUGUGUUAUAGCCAGCUGUCGCAUACAUCGAAUGAGACUGAGGAAUGCAGCUCGCCUUUAUGGCCGGGGUUCGCCCACGUCCGAGCUUAGGAUGUUGACAUAAUGGCUUUAAACGACCCGUCUUGAACCACGGACCAAAA
Molecule: ribosomal RNA, 596 nt
Filed under: Papiliotrema sp. 'flavescens/terrestris'
Lineage: Eukaryota; Fungi; Basidiomycota; Tremellomycetes; Tremellales; Rhynchogastremaceae
Description: LSU rRNA
Rfam family: Eukaryotic large subunit ribosomal RNA
Source: RNAcentral